CGGGCGUGGUGGUGGGCGCCUGUAGUCCCAGCUACUCUGGAGGUUGAGGCUGGAGAAUGGCGUGAACCCGGGAGGCGGAGCUUGCAGUGAGCCGAGACGCGCCACUGCACUCCAGCCUGCGCAACAGAGCGAGACUCCAUCUCAAAAGAAAAGAAAAGAAAAGAAAAGAAACUUUUAAUGAACACUUAACAGGUGUUCAGACUCAAACUGGGCCACACCACUGGCUUUCUGGGUCUCCUGUUUGCAGAUGGCAGACUGAGGAGUUCUCAGCUUCCAUAAUCAUGUGAACUCAAUCACGCUGAACUCAACGGGAUGGAAUAUUUUCCCUACAUUUAAGUUGUAAAUGGCAGGUUGCUUUACAAUAAAUAUCUGGGACAAUAAAAUGCCACUUCUUUAUACAGUUUUAUUAUAAAAAAUACUUAUGUUGUAAAUAAUAUUUUAAAAUUCUGACUAUGUAGCUAAUGCUUAUUAUAGAAAAUUUGAAAGUUCUUAAGAAAUAUAUGGAAAAUAAAUAACGCCCACAAUUUUACCAUUGGAACUCUCAGUAUAUAGAAAAUGUGAAUUUCUUUUUCCAUAUUAACUUUACGUGGGCACAGAUAUUUAUGUCAUGACCAUUUUUCUAUAAAAUACACUGCUUAUAAACAUGAUAUUUCAUGGCUUAACGUGAAUUAUUCAAUAAUUUUUCUAUUUUGAGGUAUUUGAAGUUAUUUCUCUUCGU
This 718-nucleotide long non-coding RNA is filed under the name Homo sapiens (human). RNAcentral describes it as "HSALNT0232126". The record is from RNAcentral. Lineage: Eukaryota; Metazoa; Chordata; Mammalia; Primates; Hominidae.